CUCCAUCCUGAGUCCUUCUUAUCAACACCAUCAGUUUUUCCACCAGAUGACGCUGUUCCGGCACCUCCCAUCCUGACUCCAAACCCUUUUCAGCUACCUCCCCUGCUUCCUCCAAACCCCAUUCAGCCUCCUCCCUUGCUUCCUCCCAACCCUUUUCAGCCACCUCCCCUGCUUCCUCCAAACCCCUUUCAGCCUCCUCCCUUGCUUCCUCCCAACCCUUUUCAGCCACCUCCCCUGCUUCCUCCAAACCCCUUUCAGCCUCCUCCCUUGCUUCCUCCCAACCCUUUUCAGCCACCUCCCCUGCUUCCUCCAAACCCCUUUCAGCCUCCUCCCUUGCUUCCUCCCAACCCUUUUCAGCCGCCACCAGCUCCACUUAUUCCAAACCCGUUUCAGCCUCCUCCAGCUCCACUUAUUCCAAACCCGUUUCAGCCUCCCCCGGCUCCACUUUUUCCUCCAAACCCGUUUCAGCCUCCCCCGGCUCCACUUUUUCCUCCAAACCCGUUUCAGCCUCCUCCAGCUCCACUUAUUCCAAACCCGUUUCAGCCUCCCCCGGCUCCACUUUUUCCUCCAAACCCGUUUCGGCCUCCUCGAGCACCUCCGUCACCAUUGUUUCCUUUUCCACCAAUUCCAGGGCUAACUCCACCAUCACCACCACCACCACCACCACCAUUCUUCCCAUUUC
RNAcentral lists this long non-coding RNA (682 nucleotides) under Theobroma cacao (cacao). RNAcentral's name for it is "long non-coding RNA (TCAC_LNC002597)". The record is from RNAcentral. Lineage: Eukaryota; Viridiplantae; Streptophyta; Magnoliopsida; Malvales; Malvaceae.